UAGUAACGGCGAGUGAAGAGGGAAAAGCUCAAAUUUUGAAUCUGGUGUCUUUGGCGCCCGAGUUGUAAUCUAGAGAAGUGUUUUCUGCCUUGGACCACACAUAAAUUCCCUGGAAUGGGGUGUCAUAGAGGGUGAGAAUCCCGUUUGUGGUGUGGACUACCUUGGCUCUGUGAUACACUCUCAACGAGUCGAGUUGUUUGGGAAUGCAGCUCAAAAUGGGUGGUAAAUUCCAUCUAAAGCUAAAUAUUGGCGAGAGACCGAUAGCGAACAAGUACCGUGAGGGAAAGAUGAAAAGCACUUUGGAAAGAGAGUGAAACAGUACGUGAAAUUGUUGAAAGGGAAGCGUUUGAAGUCAGUCACAUCGGUCGGAACUCAGCCUGGCUUUGCCUGGUGUACUUUCUGGCAGAUGGGUCAGCGUCAAUUUCGACUGAGGGAAAAAGACUUGAGGAAUGUGGCUGUCCUCGGGCAGUGUUAUAGCCUCUUGUUGUAUGUCUCAGUUGGGAUUGAGGACCGCAGCACGCCUUAUGGCCGGGGUUCGCGCCCUCGGAACGUGCUUAGGA
RNAcentral lists this ribosomal RNA (560 nucleotides) under uncultured Sebacinales. RNAcentral describes it as "eukaryotic LSU rRNA". It matches the Rfam family "Eukaryotic large subunit ribosomal RNA", at positions 81 to 618 of the family's 3401-position model. Lineage: Eukaryota; Fungi; Basidiomycota; Agaricomycetes; Sebacinales. The record is from RNAcentral.